UACCUCAAACACUGCAACAUGGAAGGAACACAAGAAAACAAGGUGAUAGCAGCCAUCUACUACUCAAGGUUGAGAAACCUCCACUGGGAUCAACUUAAAAAAGCUGCCAGCUGCCACCUGGGAGCCCCCACUCACUGUGACCUCACUGCUAUGGAUGGAGUGGCUUCCUAAGGAUGCUUGUGCCAGUUCGGAAGGUCUGGAGUUAAUGUUAUACCCCAAUCUGAGCUUCUGUGUUUGGUCUCUGUAUCAUACAUGAACAAGUUAAAAAAUAAAGGCCAUGUAAACACUUUAA
Molecule: long non-coding RNA, 292 nt
Organism: Lepidothrix coronata (blue-crowned manakin)
Lineage: Eukaryota; Metazoa; Chordata; Aves; Passeriformes; Pipridae
Exons: 2
Source: RefSeq, a predicted model, not a curated record